RNAcentral lists this ribosomal RNA (482 nucleotides) under uncultured bacterium. Its description in RNAcentral is "partial 16S ribosomal RNA". It matches the Rfam family "Bacterial small subunit ribosomal RNA", at positions 28 to 507 of the family's 1533-position model. The record is from RNAcentral.
GACGAACGCUGGCGGCGUGCUUAACACAUGCAAGUCGAACGAUGAAGAAGAGAAACGCGAACUUCGGUUCAAAUUUCACUUCGGAUUAGUGGCAGACGGGUGAGUAACGCGUGAGCAACCUACCUCUUACAAAGGGAUAGCCUCGGGAAACCGUGAUUAAUACCAUAUGACACAUUCAUAAGGCAUCUUAAGAAUGUUAAAGCUACGGCGGUAAGAGAUGGGCUCGCGUCCCAUUAGCUAGUUGGUGAGGUAACGGCCCACCAAGGCGACGAUGGGUAACCGGCCUGAGCGGGUGAACGGUCACAUUGGAACUGAGACACGGUCCGAACUCCUACGGGAGGCAGCAGUGGGGAAUAUUGCACAAUGGAGGGAACUCUGAUGCAGCGACGCCGCGUGAGCGAUGAAGGAAUUCGUUUCGUAAAGCUCUGUUCUAUGGGAAGAAAAGGACUGUACCAUAGGAGAAAGCCCCGGCUAAAUACGUG